GAAAGAGGGUGGGCCUGGCUCCCCUGACACGCACGGAAGGAGUGGAGUGAGCUGGUGCAGAUGAGGGCGGCCCACAGGGGUGCCGGGAGGGCCUUGACUCAGUCCGGCUCCAAUCGGUCCUGGGACAAGGGCAGAAUUCAGCCGCUGCUGGCAGCCCCUGUCCAGUGUCCGGGUCCCGAAUUUUAGGAGCCACUGCUGCCCCCUUGGUCGCCUGAAACCCUCUCUCCUUCCUGCCUCCGAUCAUAACCCUGCAAUCUGGCCCUAAUCGCCGCCGGACUCUGUCAUGUGAAGGCCUGGCCCACACCUGCCUUCGCAGCCCACGGAACCCUGGCAGCCCCACCAGCUCGGAUGAGGGGCCAGGCCGCUGCCUCGGGCGCCCUGUGGAUUUCGAUUCACUGCUGCUGCUGCUGCUGCUGCUGCUGCUGCUGCUGCUGCUGCUGCUGCUGCUGCUGGGGCGCCAGCGAUGUGUGACCUCGUGGCUGGAUGUGGGUCCUCGGGCUGGGCUGUGCCUUGCCCCAUGCUGGUGCAGGGAAAAUUCUUCAGGUACGCUUGGCGGUUGCUGAGUUCCUCGCUAACGCCUCUCGCUGCUCCUGGACCCAGUGCAACCAGGACCCGCACCACCACGUGCACUACAUGAAGGUGGGGAAGGCAGCCCCACCUGCAGCAGCCUGGCCUGCAUCUGCAUCUACCAGUUGGACUCCUUCCUGCAACCCAUGCGCACCUACCUGGGCCUGGAGAGCUGUGAUGAGGUGCUGAGGCUCGUGACCCCUCGGGGCCUCUGGCCUUCCUGCUGGCCAGCAAGUAGUUCCUGUCGAAGAAGGGACAGCAGCCAUCCCAGGGCAGUGACCGCGGGACCCAGGUUGGGGCCCUCCCACGCCAGUGACAACUUUCCCGUAGAACACCUCACCAUGGGCAGCCGCAACCCCAGCGAUGUGGCUGGCGGCCCUUAGAACUGCCUCACCAGCCUGACCCAGGACCGGGGCGGGGAUGCGCUUCAGUCCUGCCCUACAUGGACUCAUGAAAAGCGUCUCGCUGUUGGGAACUCUUCCUCCACCGUAUAAAGAAGGCCGGGCUAGCUUGCUGAAGAGAUGGGGAUCCACCUCGAGCCAGCACCAAGCAGCAGACACGUGCAGAAGAGCUACUCUGUGUCCUGUGUGGGGCGGUACAGGGAGCGGAAGGGCAGCCAUUCCCAGCGGUCCGGGGCAGAUCCUGGCGCAGAUCCUGCAGCAAGCCUCGCUGCCAGGUUACACCGCCGCGCUCCAUGGCAUCUUUCAGAAUGACUCUCUAUGUCUUGGAGUAGAAGAAUAAAUGCCUGCUCCCUCUACUGAAGUCCCAACUCAAACCGAACCCCUGCAUCCAUGCAGUCAGAAAUCCUAACAGGUAAACCCAUGCAUCUCUCUUUCUCAAGAUCUUUCACAGAGAGAAAUAUGGAUAAUGCUGGGGGGAAAACAUCACUUACAAAAUAGGACACCACAAGAUGCCCAUGGCUUCCCUAAUGAGGUUAAUGUAUGACAACCUCUCUUUUUUUCACUAUCUCUAAGAUGGAAGUAGCAGUUCAUGGCCAUUUUUGUUUUUGAAACAAACAAAAAUAUCUAUAGCAGAGAGAUGAGAAAUGUACAUGGCAUCUAUUACUUAUAAAUAUAUUAUUAAGUUAAUACAAAUUACAAAUACAAUAGUAACACCUUUUAAUUAAACAGAUACUGGUCUUGAAGUUCUGCAUCUUUUACUCACAGCCUUAAAAAUAAUCACUUCUUUUAUUUAAGAUCUUAUAUAAAGAUUGAGUUCUCCUUUGACUAUAGCUAUAAAUUGUUGUCACAUAAAUUUACAAUUCCAGAGGCAAUAAACCUUUAUUGACUCAUGGGUUUAUUCAACAUUUCUUCCCCCAAUAUGGAUAGCGAGACAAAACCUAGGUACCAAAUAGUGCAAUAAGAAGUUAAUGUAGUAUAUAUUAUUUUUAUUUUUGAGCUGUAAGACGUCCUAUCACACACUUUGAGAAAGAAUUCCCAUGUCUGUUUAGGGCUUUCCACCUCCCUCCAUUAUAAUCAGGAUUGUGGUUCCUAGCAAGUUACUCUAAUCCAGACCCAGUAAUGGAACUUACGAGCAAUGAUUAUGAACCAAGCAUCUCAUUCUAUUCCCUGACACAAGAUGGCUUGGGGACGCAUACAUGCUCCUACCAGGUCAGUCAGAGACAAUGCAAGUAUUAUUCUUUUUAUUGAGGUAAUGUUUGAUUUACAACAUUAUAUUAGUUUCAGGUGUACAACACAGUGAUUCCAAAUUUUAUAGAUUAUACUCAUUUUAUAGUUAUUAUAAAAUAUUGACUAAACUCACUGUGCUGUACAAUACGUCGUUGUAGCUUAUUUAUUUUGUACAUAAUAGUUUAUACCUCUUAAUUGCCUACCCUUAACUUGACCUUCCCACUUUUUGUCUCCCCGUUGGUAAUUGCUAGUUUGUACUCUCUGUGAGUCCACUUCCUUUUUGUUAUGUUUGUUAGUUUAUUUUUUAGAUUCCACAUAUAAAUAAAAAUAUAUAGUGUUUGUCUUUCUCUGUCUGAUUAUUUCACUUAGUGUGACAUCCUCCCCAGUCCAUCCAUGUUGCUGCAAAUGGCAAAAUUUAAUUCAUUUUUAUGACUAAGUAGUAUUACAUUAUAUAUAUGUGUGUGUGUGUGUGUGUGUGUGUGUGUGUUUGUAUAAACCACAUCUUCUUUAUCCAAUGAUCUGUUGAUGGACACAGAUUGCUUCCAUACAUUUUCUAUUGUAUAUAAUGCUGCUAUGAACAUUGCAGUGCAUGUAUCUUUUCAAAUUAGUGUUUUCAUUUUUUAAAGAUAUAUACCCAGCUCUGGAAUUGCUGGAUCAUAAGGUAGUUCUAUUUUUAUUUUUUAAAGGAACCUUCAUACUGUUUUCCGUAGUGGCUGCAUCAAUUUAAAAUCCCACCAAGAGUGUACUAGGGGUCCCUUUUUCCCACAUCUUCACCAGCAUUUUCAUUUGUGGUCUUCUUGAUGAUAGCCAUUCAGUGUGAAACGAUACAGCAUUUUGAUUCUGGUUUGUAUUUCUCUGACUAGUGACAUUGUGCUUCUGUUCAUCUGCUUGUUGGACUUCUGUAUGUCUUCUUUUGAAAAAUACCUAUUCAAAUCUACUGCCUAUUUUUAAAUUAUUUUAAAAAUAUGUAUUUGUAUGAGCUCUUCAUAUAUUUUGGUCUAUCAUUUGGUACUAUUUGCUCCCAUUCUGUAGGUUGUCUUUUAAUUUUGUCAAUUUCUUUGUUUGCUUUUUUUGUUUGUUUUUGCUGUGCAAAAGCUUUUAAGUUUCAUUAGGCCCCAUUUGUUUAUUUUUGCUUUUGUUUCCCCUGCUUUAGAGACAGAUCAAAAAAUACUGAUAUGAUUUAUGUCAAACAGCAUUCUGCCUGGUUUUCUUCUAGGAGUUUUAUUGUUUCUGGUCUUAGAUCUUUAAUCCACUUUGAGUUUGUUUUUGUAAAUGGUUAUAGAUAAUGUUCUAAUUUCAUUCUUUUACAUGUGGCUGUCCAGUUUUCCCAGCACCAGUUUUUGAAGAGGUGGUCUUUUCUCUACUGUAUAUUCUUGCUUCCUUUUUUGUAGAUCAAUUGACCAUAAGUGUGUGGGUUUAUUUCUGGGGUUUCUAUGCUGUUCCAUUUAUCUAGUUGACUGUUUUUUGUGUGUGCCAGUACCGUACUGUUUUGAUUACUGUAGCUUUGUAGUAUACCCUGAAGUCAGGAAGCAUGAUUCCUCCAGCUCUGUUCUAUCUCAUUGUUCUGGCUACUUGGAGUCUUUUGUAUUUCCAUACAAAUUUUAAAAUUAUUUGCUCUAGUUUUGUGAAAAAUGCCAUUGUAUUUUGAUAGCAAUUAUAUUGAAUCUAUAAAGUGCCUUGGGUAGUUCGGUCUUUUAGAGUAUUAAUCCUUCCAAUUCAUGAACUUGAUACUUUGCCUUUGUUUGUGUCAUCUUCUUUCAUCAGUGUCUUAUAGUUUUCCAAGAACAGGUCUUUCCCCUCCUUAGUUAGAUUUAUUUCUAGG
Molecule: long non-coding RNA, 4017 nt
Filed under: Camelus dromedarius (Arabian camel)
Lineage: Eukaryota; Metazoa; Chordata; Mammalia; Artiodactyla; Camelidae
Description: lncRNA (ENSCDRG00005003614.1)
Source: RNAcentral